UAGGGAAUCUUCGGCAAUGGGGGGAACCCUGACCGAGCAACGCCGCGUGAGUGAAGAAGGUUUUCGGUUCGUAAAGCUCUGUUGUUAAGGAAGAACGAGUGUGAGAAUGGAAAGUUCAUGCUGUGACGGUACUUAACCAGAAAGGGACGGCUAACUACGUGCCAGCAGCCGCGGUAAUACGUAGGUCCCGAGCGUUGUCCGGAUUUAUUGGGCGUAAAGCGAGCGCAGGCGGUUAGAAAAGUCUGAAGUGAAAGGCAGUGGCUCAACCAUUGUAGGCUUUGGAAACUGUUUAACUUGAGUGCAGAAGGGGAGAGUGGAAUUCCAGGUGUAGCGGUGAAAUGCGUAGAUAUAUGAAGGAACACCGGUGGCGAAAGCGGCUCUCUGGUCUGUAACUGACGCUGAGGCUCGAAAGCGUGGGGAGCGAACAGG
This 429-nucleotide ribosomal RNA is filed under the name Bacteroidota bacterium. RNAcentral describes it as "Bacteroidetes bacterium partial 16S ribosomal RNA". It matches the Rfam family "Bacterial small subunit ribosomal RNA", at positions 355 to 776 of the family's 1533-position model. Lineage: Bacteria; Pseudomonadati; Bacteroidota. The record is from RNAcentral.